AAAUUUUUUUUUUUAAGAUGUAGGUUGAUGGAAUGUCGUGUGCAAAAUAAAAUUUCGCUUAAAAGAAUUUCUAGAAACUUACCCUGUAAGCGGCGCCUUUGAUCCAUAAUGAGCUCGCAAUGCCGGCUGUUCGUCGAUUUGCUGCACCCAUCUUCGUCGCCACCAUGCUCUUCUCCUGCUUGCCGGCCGGCCGAUGCCAGGACAACGGCGUCGGAGAUGGAUCCACAGUGGCGGCGCCCCACUUCACUCAGCUAGUUCGUGAACUCUUCACGAACUGCAGCAAGAGUUUCACCGCCGAGAUCGUCCAUCGAUGAUCCGGAGAUGGACUGAAGCGGAGCGUUCAACUUCUCGGUGGAUCUAGGUUGUUUUUGGAAAAUUGUAUCAAGCAGAUUAACGGUAUGACCGGCAUUUGUGGGAGACAUCAGAGGGUUAAGAUUUCUAUGCUUGGAUUUUGUUCUAUGGAUUAAAUGAGCAAUGCUUUUUAAGAUUUGGCGUAUAAAGUUUCCAUGCUUUUUUUUAA
Phalaenopsis equestris is the source of this 520-nucleotide long non-coding RNA. RefSeq lists it as uncharacterized. Lineage: Eukaryota; Viridiplantae; Streptophyta; Magnoliopsida; Asparagales; Orchidaceae. The transcript has 2 exons. The record is from RefSeq and is a predicted model, not a curated record.